GGCUGUCAUGGGCUAACCAAAAUAAACAUAAAGGAACACUCAAUAUAAGACGACCCAAUCUGAUAUAAAAACUUAUACACUUAUACAUUUGACAUACGGGCCUAUAAGGCCAAAGUUACACUGAACAUAGGCCGACAAGGCCGUAAAAUCUUUCACGUACACGACAUAUGUCUACAAGUCUCUAAGAGUACAUACUUAUUAUAAAGGUCGGGGCAGGGCUCCACCAUACCAAAUAAUACACGUCAAAAUCAUACUGACUAAAUAAACAACUCCGGAGCAAAUGGAGCGUACCAACACCUUCCGUUAAGCCGAUAGCCUACUUGGAGGACUCUCGACCUGUCUAUCGGGACCUGCAGGCAUGAAACGCAGCGUCCCCCGAAAAAAGAACGUCAGUAUAAAUAAUAUACCGAGUAUGUAAGGAAUAAAAAUCAGUAAACAAUAGACAUGAGAGAAACAUGGAGUAAAAGACUCAACAUGUAAGUCUGAAUAGCUCUAUGAAUCAUUUCAUAUUUAUAAUGCCAUGCAUAUGCGUAUAAAUGCCAUACUAUGCAUAGGUAUAUGCGUUCAUAACAUCAUCAAGCCUCUGAGGGUAUCCCAUCAUAUCAUCUCGGCUACUAUGGGGCAAAUUAUCAACGUAUACCAGUUGAUCAGGUGGUGGUGUGUAUAUAACACCAUAACCUUUUCCCAUGUCCCGUAUACAUAUAACAUACGCGUAUAUAACGCCAUCUGGUCAUGGGUCAAUGUAUAUGUAUAAAUGCAUGAAAUGCAUAAGAAAUACGUUAAUAAGAUUUCUCGGAAUAUCACAAAAUCAAUAUGUAUUUUGGAUAAACUUUGUCAAAUACGUAUUUUUCUGAGACCCAUGAACAAAAAAAAAAUAAUUCACAUGUGGAAUCAAGAAUAUAGACACCCCUAAUACUUCUAUGAAUAGAGUCAUUUAUGAAAAUUGUGCGUUUACUCGUUUUAUUUGUAUCGUAUGAAUCAUUCCAAAAAGAAAGAAGGGAUAACCUUAACAUGCCUGGACCGAUUCUCUUGAUGAUCCCUCUAACACAUGUCUUUUGCGAAAACACGUAACGAUAAAUUGAAGUAGGAAAAAAUCCGUAUGAUGUUCUUGAGAAAAAUUAUACCGUACUCUCUUAGAAUUAUAAAUCCCGUUGCUAUUACAUUACGUAGUCUCGUAUGAAUUUUGUUGAAGCAAUUUACCAUAACAGAUCCGUAUGAUAUCUUUCUUAAAUAAAUUUGAACAAAAUCUUUCAUGACCUUUCUUGAAGUGAAUUGCGUUGCCAAGAUGCUUAAGGAAUUUUUGCUUGAAUUUUCGAAUUCUUGCUUGAAUUCUUGUUGAAGCAGAAUGUCACGUUACUAAGUUGCCUACCAUUUUUAAUAUAAGCACUCACGCUGCUCUUUCCAUAUUUUGUGAAUUUGAGAGCCUUUUAUGGCUUAGCCAAGAGUUCCUUUCAAGGUGCUACCUAGCCAAAUAAAAUACUUAGUCACCUUAGGCUUGAUGAAAGCUUUACACAUGCUGCCACGUUUGGAGCAUUUAACCUUAUUCAAAUUAUGCUCAAUUAAUUAGGUAAUAUCCCAUUACCCAAUAAUUAACUAAUUACCCAUAUAAUCAAGAAUUAUCUUAAAUUACUUAAAAUACUACUCACUUUAAAUAUACUUUAUAUACCUUACUAUCAUGGUCAUGUGGUACCUUGUAUAGCACAAAUCCAUAAAUACCAGGUAUUAUAGCUUAGACCGUAUUUUAUCUCCAAAUGUCAAAUUUUGACGAAAUUCAUUUUCUUCGAUUUGCUUACCCCCUAACCUUCACGAAUUUACUUAUUACUUGUUUGAAAUAGCGUAAUACUUAUAAUCUCAAAAUAAAUUUUAUCCCCGAACUUACGUCGAUUAACUUACGACGAAACUUUAACAUAUAAAAAUGCGGGAUGUAAUAUCUCAUUUCCGAGCUUAUAUCAAUUUACUUAUGGCGUACUUUUACGUACGAAAACAUGGGGUGUAACAUUAUAUAUAAAGAAAAGUUAAUUUAGAGAGGUGAGGUUUACCUCAUACAUAGCCUAUUGCAUCUCCAAACAUGUAGCUUCAAAUUUCUGCUAUACAUAGGCUCAUUUUAGUCCUUUUGUCUGCUUGCAAAGUUCAAUGGGAGAAUACGUGUAUUUCAUCAAACAAUUGGCCUGCACUAUGCACAUAAGAAAUUAGAGUAAAAAUAAUCUCACAAGUCACAUAUCAACAAUGAUUAUAUUUGUCUAUACACAAGAAUAAGAAUAAAACAACAGAAAGAAUAUAAAAUUAUAAUGGUAAGAAUCAAAAGAGGGAUUUAUUAUACUUUGUAGAGUUGUAAAAUAAUGAAGUAAAGAGCACUAAGACUUGAGACAUAAGAGUGAGGAAAUUUAUACAACGAUCAUCAACAAAGUUAGGGGUCGCUAAAAUUACUCAAAGCUUAAAAUUCUCUGUGCAACAACCCUAACAAUUUAAGCAAUGACUAGGUACUGGUAAACUAUUGUUGACAUCACAAUGGUAAAAUAUUAAGUGGAUCUGUAGCAUAUCAAUGAAAAAUACAAGGUAACAAAACCUGAACGAGUUAUGCUCAAUCAAUUCUUGGAAAAGAAACCCAAUGAAUGUUUUUCCACCUUUAAUUUCCCACCAGCAAAAUUAGGGUUUGACUGACAAAGUCUAUGGGCAGCGACACACACACACACACACAGAGAGAGAGAGAGAGAGAGAGAGAGAGAGAGAGAGAGAGAGAGAGAGAGAGAGAGAGAGAGAAGCGAGAGAUGAGUUAUAAUACCUGGGUUCUGGGGAUGGUGGCCUGCGAUAGGGAGACAGAGCGACAUCGGUUCGACAGUAGCGACGAGAGCAGAGAAAUAUGAAAAAUGAGGUUGGGCAGCAACUAUUAUUUUGUGAAUUUUUACAGAGCAAAAAAAUGAGGGAAAUAUAAAAAAGAAAAAGGAAUGGAGGGAAUUGGUCAUAAUUGGAU
This 2971-nucleotide long non-coding RNA is filed under the name Nicotiana tabacum (common tobacco). Its description in RNAcentral is "long non-coding RNA (NTAB_LNC017936)". Lineage: Eukaryota; Viridiplantae; Streptophyta; Magnoliopsida; Solanales; Solanaceae. The record is from RNAcentral.